This 31-nucleotide non-coding RNA is filed under the name Rattus norvegicus (Norway rat). The record is from RNAcentral. Lineage: Eukaryota; Metazoa; Chordata; Mammalia; Rodentia; Muridae.
UNUUCCUACACUGGACCUACACUGUCCAUCA